Molecule: ribosomal RNA, 253 nt
Filed under: uncultured bacterium
Lineage: Bacteria
Description: partial 16S ribosomal RNA
Rfam family: Bacterial small subunit ribosomal RNA
Source: RNAcentral
UACGUAGGGUGCAAGCGUUGUCCGGAAUUAUUGGGCGUAAAGAGCUCGUAGGCGGUCUGUCGCGUCGGAUGUGAAAAUCCAGGGCUCAACCCUGGACCUGCAUUCGAUACGGGCAGACUAGAGUUCGGUAGGGGAGACUGGAAUUCCUGGUGUAGCGGUGAAAUGCGCAGAUAUCAGGAGGAACACCGGUGGCGAAGGCAGCCCCCUGGGCUAACACUGGCGCUCAGGCACGAAAGCGUGGGGAGCAAACAGG